CAACUGAUUUGCUUAUUGCACCACAUGUGUUUUUUAUUGAACAAAUUUCUUUGGUGGCGGGAGCAAUCCUACCGCCAGAGGUUAUAACUAAACCAAACUUUUUAUUUACAGUCAAACUUGAUUUAUUAUUACAAUAGUCAAAACUUUCAACAACGGAUCUCUUGGUUCUCGCAUCGAUGAAGAACGCAGCGAAAUGCGAUACGUAAUAUGAAUUGCAGAUAUUCGUGAAUCAUCGAAUCUUUGAACGCACAUUGCGCCCUUUGGUAUUCCAAAGGGCAUGCCUGUUUGAGCGUCAUUUCUCCCUCAAACCCCCGGGUUUGGUGUUGAGCAAUACGCUAGGUUUGUUUGAAAGAAUUUACGUGGAAACUUAUUUUAAGCGACUUAGGUUUAUCCAAAACGCUUAUUUUGCUAGUGGCCACCACAAUUUAUUUCAUAACUUUGACCUCAAAUCAGGUAGGACUACCCGCUGAACUUAAGCAUAUCAAAAGGCGGGAGGAAA
RNAcentral lists this ribosomal RNA (499 nucleotides) under Candida tropicalis. Its description in RNAcentral is "eukaryotic LSU rRNA". The stretch from base 142 to 295 matches the Rfam family "5.8S ribosomal RNA". Lineage: Eukaryota; Fungi; Ascomycota; Pichiomycetes; Serinales; Debaryomycetaceae. The record is from RNAcentral.